Molecule: ribosomal RNA, 253 nt
Filed under: uncultured bacterium
Lineage: Bacteria
Description: partial 16S ribosomal RNA
Rfam family: Bacterial small subunit ribosomal RNA
Source: RNAcentral
UACGUAGGGUGCGAGCGUUAAUCGGAAUUACUGGGCGUAAAGCGUGCGCAGGCGGCUCCGCAAGUCAGGCGUGAAAUCCCCGAGCUUAACUUGGGAAUGGCGCUUGAAACUACGGUGCUGGAGUGUGGCAGAGGGAGGUGGAAUUCCACGUGUAGCGGUGAAAUGCGUAGAGAUGUGGAGGAACACCGAUGGCGAAAGCAGCCUCCUGGGCCAACACUGACGCUCAUGCACGAAAGCGUGGGGAGCAAACAGG